Molecule: long non-coding RNA, 992 nt
Organism: Choloepus didactylus (southern two-toed sloth)
Lineage: Eukaryota; Metazoa; Chordata; Mammalia; Pilosa; Megalonychidae
Exons: 5
Source: RefSeq, a predicted model, not a curated record
GUCGCGGGAUGAUGUUUGGCUUGCGGCGAGCGAAACGGGGAAUAUGCCCGGCCGAGUCGGGAGAGGGCACAGACAUGCAUUGGAACUUCUGGCAGCUGGAAGACUACUUGAGCAGCAUGGCCAACUUCCUGUAAGCCCAGGGCCUGGCCUCAGGAGAUGUGGCUGCCCUCUUCAUGGAGAACACUGUCUGUGAGAUCCCUGCUGGCCUGGGUCCCUCACUGAGCCUCUUCUGCUCCGGCUCCUGGGAGCCCAGGGCAGUGCCUUCUGGCACAGAGCACCUGGACCUCUACUGGAAGAUGCCCCCAGCACCUGCCCAGUUCCCCUGAGAAGGGCAUCACAGGUGGGCGACUGUGGCUUCAACAGCUGCAUCCUGACCUUCGUGUACCCCAUCCGGCUGGUGCAUGUCAAUGAGGACACCUUGGAGCUGAUCUGGAGGCCUGGUGGUGUCUGCGUUCCCUGCCAACCAGUCCAUUCAUUUGUUUUCGUGUUGACUCGAGAAGACUCUCCAGGCUGCCUGGGUUUGAUCCCGGCUCAGCCACUUGGCUCUGGGACACGGACAAGUUAUUCAGCCUUUCUCCCUGAGUUUCCUCAUCGGCAAAUGGGGAUGAAAGCAGCACCCGCUCCAUCAGGCUGACCUGAGGAUUAGCUGUGACAGUGUAAAGCUCCUCCAGGCACAGACGAGGGGCUCGGUGAGCACUAGCUUUGCUCAGACUGUCCACGUGGAACUUGGCCACCCAUUGUUUAUUUGUUCAUCUUCCCAUGCAUUCAGUGACAGACAUUACUGAGGGUCUACCAGUGUCAGAGAUGCCCAGAUAAGCUCCCUGCCCUGAGGGUGCUCCUGGGCUACGGGGAGAAAUGGGGCAUUUCCUGGGAAGCAGUGUGAAUGGAAGUUAGAUCAGGACACAGGGUGUGUUCAGGGGUGGAAGGAACAGGUGGAAGAGACAACCUGGGGGUGUUUCCAAAUCCGACUCUGCCUUCCCUGCCCCCAGGUG